RNAcentral lists this ribosomal RNA (1394 nucleotides) under uncultured bacterium. RNAcentral's name for it is "bacterial SSU rRNA". It matches the Rfam family "Bacterial small subunit ribosomal RNA". The record is from RNAcentral.
AGAGUUUGAUCCUGGCUCAGGAUGAACGCUGGCGGCGUGCUUAACACAUGCAAGUCGAACGGAGAUUAUACGCAGAGGCGAUUUCGGUCAAAUCAUGUAAAAUCUUAGUGGCGGACGGGUGAGUAACGCGUGGGUAACCUGCCUUACACUGGGGGAUAACACUUAGAAAUAGGUGCUAAUACCGCAUAAGCGCACGAAGCCGCAUGGAUUUGUGUGAAAAACUCCGGUGGUGCAAGAUGGACCCGCGUCUGAUUAGCUUGUUGGCGGGGUAACGGCCCACCAAGGCGACGAUCAGUAGCCGGCCUGAGAGGGUGGACGGCCACAUUGGGACUGAGACACGGCCCAAACUCCUACGGGAGGCAGCAGUGGGGGAUAUUGGACAAUGGGGGGAACCCUGAUCCAGCGACGCCGCGUGAGUGAAGAAGUAUUUCGGUAUGUAAAGCUCUGUCAGCAGGGAAGAAAGAAAUGACGGUACCUGACCAAGAAGCCCCGGCUAACUACGUGCCAGCAGCCGCGGUAAUACGUAGGGGGCAAGCGUUACUCGGAAUCACUGGGCGUAAAGAGUGCGCAGGCGGGGUGGUAAGUCAGAUGUGAAAUCCUGUAGCUUAACUACAGAACUGCAUUUGAAACUAUCACUCUAGAGUAUGGGAGAGGUAGGUGGAAUUCUUGGUGUAGGGGUAAAAUCCGUAGAGAUCAAGAGGAAUACUCAUUGCGAAGGCGACCUACUGGAACAUUACUGACGCUCAUGCACGAAAGCAUGGGUAGCAAACAGGAUUAGAUACCCUGGUAGUCCAUGCCGUAAACGAUGAUUACUAGGUGUGGGUGGACUGACCCCAUCCGUGCCGGAGUUAACACAAUAAGUAAUCCACCUGGGAAGUACGACCGCAAGGUUGAAACUCAAAGGAAUUGACGGGGGCCCGCACAAGCGGUGGAGCAUGUGGUUUAAUUCGAAGCAACGCGAAGAACCUUACCAGGUCUUGACAUCCAGUGCAAACCUAAGAGAUUAGGUGUUCCCUUCGGGGACGCUGAGACAGGUGGUGCAUGGCUGUCGUCAGCUCGUGUCGUGAGAUGUUGGGUUAAGUCCCGCAACGAGCGCAACCCUUGUUAUUAGUUGCCAGCAUCAAGUUGGGCACUCCAAUGAGACUGCCGGUGACAAACCGGAGGAAGGUGGGGAUGACGUCAAGUCAUCAUGCCCCUUAUGACCUGGGCUACACACGUGCUACAAUGGCGUAAACAAAGGGAAGCGAGCCUGUGAAGGUAAGCGAAUCCCAGAAAUAACGUCUCAGUUCGGAUUGUAGUCUGCAACUCGACUACAUGAAGCUGGAAUCGCUAGUAAUCGCGGAUCAGAAUGCCGCGGUGAAUACGUUCCCGGGUCUUGCACUCACCGCCCGUCA